GACGGAGGGUGCAAACGUUGUUCGGAAUCACUGGGCCUAAAGCGCACGUAGGCGGUCCGCUAAGUCAGUUGUGAAAUCCCUCGGCUCAACCGAGGAGCUGCACCUGAUACUGGCGGGCUCGAGAACGGUAGGGGUGAGUGGAACUCCAGGUGGAGCGGUGAAAUGCGUAGAUAUCUGGAGGAACACCGGUGGCGAAGGCGGCUCACUGGACCGUAUCUGACGCUGAGGUGCGAAAGCUAGGGUAGCAAACGGG
Molecule: ribosomal RNA, 253 nt
Filed under: uncultured bacterium
Lineage: Bacteria
Description: partial 16S ribosomal RNA
Rfam family: Bacterial small subunit ribosomal RNA
Source: RNAcentral